Delphinapterus leucas (beluga whale) is the source of this 82-nucleotide small nucleolar RNA. Its record names the gene SNORD83. It matches the Rfam family "Small nucleolar RNA SNORD83". Rfam says of the family: U83 (SNORD83) and U84 (SNORD84) are members of the C/D class of snoRNA which contain the C (UGAUGA) and D (CUGA) box motifs. They act as guanine methylation guides but lack complementarity to ribosomal RNA. U83 and U84 are spliced from introns 5 and 4 of the BAT1 gene in mammals. The record is from Ensembl. NCBI's taxonomy places the organism in Eukaryota, Metazoa, Chordata, Mammalia, Artiodactyla, Monodontidae.
GGCUAUUGAUAUUUUCACUUUAAAUUGUGAGCUCAUAGAAUGCAGGGUCCACAUUUGUAUCUCUCACACUUAACUGAUGCCU